This 424-nucleotide ribosomal RNA is filed under the name uncultured prokaryote. Its description in RNAcentral is "bacterial SSU rRNA". It matches the Rfam family "Bacterial small subunit ribosomal RNA", at positions 355 to 796 of the family's 1533-position model. The record is from RNAcentral.
UGGGGAAUAUUGGGCAAUGGGCGAAAGCCUGACCCAGCCAUGCCGCGUGAGUGAUGAAGGCCUUAGGGUUGUAAAACUCUUUCGCUGGGGAAGAUAAUGACGGUACCCAGUAAAGAAGCCCCGGCUAAUUUCGUGCCAGCAGCCGCGGUAAUACGAAAGGGGCUAGCGUUGUUCGGAAUUACUGGGCGUAAAGCGCGCGUAGGCGGCUAUUCAAGUCAGGGGUGAAAUCCCGGGGCUCAACCCCGGAACUGCCCUUGAAACUAGGUAGCUAGAAUACUGGAGAGGUGAGUGGAAUUCCGAGUGUAGAGGUGAAAUUCGUAGAUAUUCGGAAGAACACCAGUGGCGAAGGCGACUCACUGGACAGUUAUUGACGCUGAGGUGCGAAAGCGUGGGGAGCAAACAGGAUUAGAUACCCCCGUAGUCC